This 698-nucleotide ribosomal RNA is filed under the name uncultured bacterium. RNAcentral describes it as "bacterial SSU rRNA". It matches the Rfam family "Bacterial small subunit ribosomal RNA", at positions 629 to 1327 of the family's 1533-position model. The record is from RNAcentral.
GAUACGAGCAGACUAGAGUGUUGCAGGGGAGACUGAAAUUCCUGGUGUAGCGGUGAAAUGCGCAGAUAUCAGGAGGAACACCGGUGGCGAAGGCGGGUCUCUGGGCAACAACUGACGCUGAGGAGCGAAAGCGUGGGGAGCGAACAGGAUUAGAUACCUUGGUAGUCCACGCCGUAAACGUUGGGCGCUAGGUGUGGGGCUCAUUCCACGAGUUCCGUGCCGCAGCUAACGCAUUAAGCGCCCCGCCUGGGGAGUACGGCCGCAAGGCUAAAACUCAAAGGAAUUGACGGGGGCCCGCACAAGCGGCGGAGCAUGUUGCUUAAUUCGAUGCAACGCGAAGAACCUUACCUAGGCUUGACAUGCACGGAAAUCCUCCAGAGAUGGUGGGUCCGUAAGGGCCGUGCACAGGUGGUGCAUGGUUGUCGUCAGCUCGUGUCGUGAGAUGUUGGGUUAAGUCCCGCAACGAGCGCAACCCUCGUUCUAUGUUGCCAGCACGUCAUGGUGGGGACUCAUAGGAGACUGCCGGGGUCAACUCGGAGGAAGGUGGGGAUGACGUCAAAUCAUCAUGCCCCUUAUGUCUAGGGCUGCAAACAUGCUACAAUGGCCGGUACAAAGGGCUGCGAUACCGCGAGGUGGAGCGAAUCCCAAAAAGCCGGUCUCAGUUCGGAUUGGGGUCUGCAACUCGACCCCAUGAAGUU